UACGUAGGGGGCUAGCGUCGUCCGGAAUCAUUGGGCGUAAAGAGCGUGUAGGCGGCCCGGUAAGUCCGCUGUGAAAGUCGGGGGCUCAACCCUCGAAUGCCGGUGGAUACUGUCGGGCUAGAGUGCGGAAGAGGCGAGUGGAAUUCCUGGUGUAGCGGUGAAAUGCGCAGAUAUCAGGAGGAACACCAAUUGCGAAGGCAGCUCGCUGGGACGUAACUGACGCUGAGACGCGAAAGCGUGGGGAGCAAACAGG
This 253-nucleotide ribosomal RNA is filed under the name uncultured bacterium. RNAcentral describes it as "partial 16S ribosomal RNA". It matches the Rfam family "Bacterial small subunit ribosomal RNA", at positions 524 to 776 of the family's 1533-position model. The record is from RNAcentral.